UAAUUGUAUCUUGGUUGACAAACUAAAAUAGGCUUUCUACAUUUAAUUAAGUGAAAGAAAGCUCUAGAAAUCUGGUAUAUGCAGAUUUUUUUUUUGUAAUGUAAUACUUUAUUGCGACCCUAGAUUUCUGUCCUUAACUUGGUCAUCGGGAAGAAGGAUGAAAGUGAUCUUCCCCUGUCUUGCUGACAAUAAGAAACCAAGGACGAGAGGUCUCAAGAGAGUAUCACAUAUCCACAUGCAAGUUGUUUAACCUUGGAAAGGAGGAGGAUAUGAUGUAACGAAGCAUGUCAACACUUGCCAACGCACUUUCACAAACUCUGACGCAGCUAAUUAUCAAAAGCUUCUUGCCUCCAAGAGUUUAGCCAAGAGCCUAGACCUCUCUUCUGCUGCUAAGCCAUUCAUUGCUCCCAAGACUCAGAGCUGAUUCUUUGCUCUCUCGUUUGUUGCUCUGGUCAUGUUCAAAGUUCUACGAAGACAUGCAAACGCUAUCAUGGUCAUGUUCGCUUUGUUUUUAUUUUAUUCUCAAAUUCAUGUCAUCAUUUUUUUUCUCCACAUUUUUCUGCUUUAAGCUCUCUCUUUUAUUCCAAACUUCUACUUCAAUUUUCUUACAGCUAAUAUGCCACAAAACUUAGUUGAUAGAUAAAAGAACAGACUUCGCAAAAGAGAACUAUAGUGUCCAAAGUAUGUACAUUUAAGCAUGUCUGCUUGCCUCAACAUUCAAGUUGUUUUGUUAAAAAUAUAAAAUAACACUCUCAGAAAAAAAAGACAAGCCACAUCAUAUCUUAUUAUAAAGAUAAGAAGCAAAUAGAUCUUACUCGAUGAGGAACAGCUAUCAGCUCAUGAAUUUAUUUUCUCACAUAAUAUGGGAGAAACGCCUCUUGCCAAUAGCCAGACUAUGUUACCCC
RNAcentral lists this long non-coding RNA (905 nucleotides) under Eutrema salsugineum. RNAcentral's name for it is "long non-coding RNA (ESAL_LNC000738)". The record is from RNAcentral. Lineage: Eukaryota; Viridiplantae; Streptophyta; Magnoliopsida; Brassicales; Brassicaceae.